Canis lupus familiaris (dog) is the source of this 1223-nucleotide long non-coding RNA. RefSeq lists it as uncharacterized. NCBI's taxonomy places the organism in Eukaryota, Metazoa, Chordata, Mammalia, Carnivora, Canidae. The transcript has 4 exons. The record is from RefSeq and is a predicted model, not a curated record.
UUUAAGAACACAAGAUGGUUUAAUGUUGAUGUGAAGCUGUUGGCUGGACUCAUAGCAAAUCCCCAUCCAGCCCCUGAUCUGGGCUGAACGCUGCUGCACAUAUAGGUUUUGUGUGGGGUGUUUGAGAAAACCCAGAGGGACCGAAUCUGAGUUGCUGUGAGGUAGAGCGGUGUUGCCAGCACAGGAGGGAGCCAUAGUCUGGGGACCUCACUCAGUGGAAGUAGCAGCUCGGAGCCACAGACAACAAAUACCUAGGGAGUGCCUACCUGUGCCGGAUGCUCACCUGGGAUGCCUUACAGUCUAGUGGCAGAGAAUACGUGGAAGAGUCUUAACCUCCUCACUGGACAAAUGAGGAAUCUGAGGCCUUGAAAGAGGACGACCCCAGCAGGGAGAGUGUGACACAACAAAGCUCCAUAUCACGACCCGAGAACCUAAUUCCAGGCAAGAUGAGGCCGCCCUAUGGUGGAGAAAGUGUCGUUCUAGUCUCCGCUAUGCUGCUCCCUCUCUGGGGACCUGGGCCACAGAAUGUCACCUAGCAGGGCCUUAGCCUCCCCAUCUGUGGAAUGGGGAUUCUGGGCCCUGUCUGCUAUCCACUUCACUGGACCGUUGUAAGUCUCCAAAGGGACUGCAUGCUUGAAAGCACGGGUCACAGGGAGGGUGUCAAGAUGCUGGCUCGGGGACUAACCUUCCCUGGAGAACAUGUAUGCAUUUUAAAAGGAACCACAGGUAGCCUUAACCCACCAGCAUCGGUCACAGACUCAUCUCAGGCCUUGGCCGGUGAAACUUAAACAUCAGAAGAUAGGUCUGUGCUUCACUGUGGCACCCACCAAACCCUGCACAGUGUGGGGAGACUGGGCUGGGACUGGCAGGGCUGGCCGCAGGCUGCAGCACACCCGGGUGUGGUUCGGGGACACACUAGGCAGGACGUUCUUCUAUGAAUGUCAUCCAGCCGCCGUAGCUCCCUUCCUGAACUCAUCCAGUGCCACAGCUAGGAUAGCCCUUCAAGACAACAUGUGCAUGCUCCCAGCUUGCGUAGAUCGUGGAGCUAAAGCCCCAAGUCGGGGGAAGGCGUUAAAAGAGAGGGAGAGCUCCCCGCAGAAACCUGGACACGGCAGAGGAUCGGAUCCAGGUGCUUGACUCCCAGGUCAGGAGUUUCUGAGGCUGAUAGCCUCAGGUACAAGUAUCCUGGGAGAGGCCACACCUUUUUUUUUUUUUUUUUUAAA